GGAAAACCGAAAAACCUUUCGUAAGAUGUCCUGUGAUUCACCCUUACACAACAUUUAUUUUUGUUCUGAAGCAUUCAGAAAGUCGUAAGAUGGCGUCUCCGGGCCAGCAGGAUGUGAAAAGAGGCAUCUCUGCCAUCUGGGAAAACCUGCAGUGCCCCAUCUGUUUGGAGCUGAUGAGUAUGCCUGUGACGACGAAAUGUGAUCACCAGUUUUGCAAGUUCUGCAUGCAGAAGCUCCUAGAUCGUGGUAAGAGGCAGGAGGCCAGCUGUCCUGUCUGCAAAACCAAAAUCACCAAACGGAGUCUUCAGGAGAGUGCAGUGUUCCAACGUCUUGUUUCUGGCUUGCAGUCGCUAGUGGAGGCCUACCAACACGACAGCUCCACUAACUAUUUCACUGGGCAAGCGCAGACCAAGAACCCGAUG
Molecule: long non-coding RNA, 422 nt
Organism: Engraulis encrasicolus (European anchovy)
Lineage: Eukaryota; Metazoa; Chordata; Actinopteri; Clupeiformes; Engraulidae
Exons: 6
Source: RefSeq, a predicted model, not a curated record